UUUUUUCGUCGACUCCCCUGUAGCAGUCGUCCCCCGAUCCGCUCGUUUGGAGAUCAUGUUGAUGAUCCCUGCUGUUGGUUGGUUGUUCGUCGCUUUCUCAGUCGAUUGGGGUCGUCGGUCGGGGACGGGUCGAGUCGGCGGGUUCUGUCGAAAUUUGCCGAGGUACCCUCGUCGUAUGAGGGCCUCAAUCUCAUUUUUGAGCUGGAUGCACUGCUCCGUGUUGUGGCCCCGAUGAAAUCGACAGUAUUUUCGUCGGUCGAGGCCCUUUGCCUUCAAAGGCGGAGGCCGUCGCAGAUAUUCUUCCCCUUCGAUUUCCAUCAAAAUCUACGCACGAGGAGCAGAGAGAGGGGUAUAGGAAUCAUACCUUGGAUGUGUCGGCCUCGGACUCCACCGUCGAGGUGAUCUCGGGCUCCGUCGUUUGGGUGAGACAUGUCUGUUGGUCGGGGGCCUGCUAGACUCGACAGGAGCCCGACCUUUCCUUCGCUUCUCCUUCGGGCCCUUGGCCUCAGUCAG
RNAcentral lists this long non-coding RNA (513 nucleotides) under Elaeis guineensis (African oil palm). RNAcentral describes it as "long non-coding RNA (EGUI_LNC070889)". Lineage: Eukaryota; Viridiplantae; Streptophyta; Magnoliopsida; Arecales; Arecaceae. The record is from RNAcentral.